ACAUACAUAAAUUGGCAUAUGAUAAAGAUAAUGUUCCAUUCAUCGCGUAUAUAAAACCCAUUUUGGCCUCCAAGUGGCCCUGUCACAAUGGGUAUCCCAUUGAAAAGAAGCAAUGCUUAUUUCCGGCGUUUUGCCGAUGACAGAUUAGUGCAAGCUAAGUUGUAGCUACUAGGCACGCUCGCAGCUUAGAUUAGAUGAACUCAUGUCAUGUCAGAUUAAUAAUGAAAUUGAAUUUUAAUAUUUUUGGGUGCCAUGUCUGCCAUUUGGCCAUUCCUCUUCAAACCAUGUCGAACUGCUGUAAACAUUCAAAGAUUACUUCACACCAAAUGUGCCAGCGCUUUCCCUUAACUGAUUAGUACUAUCGCCUUUCUUCAAUUCGAAUAUCUAAUCCAGCAGUGGCACUUGGGGCUGUUUUCAAAAAUAAAUGAAGGUCUUUGAGCUAUGGACUCCCUGCUUCUGGGCAUUCUUAAUCAAUUAGAGAGCCGACCCGACUAGGCGAUACCCUCUAAUAACUCAUUGUGUAUUAGAUGUGUGGGCAACAAAGAACUAAAAAAUGAGGAGAUGAGUGUCGUUGUGAUUCUCGAUCAGCUUAAAAGCUAACGCCAUAAAGCUUUUGCUAAAGCUUAGAUGGGUUACCAC
Molecule: long non-coding RNA, 639 nt
Organism: Drosophila sechellia
Lineage: Eukaryota; Metazoa; Arthropoda; Insecta; Diptera; Drosophilidae
Exons: 3
Source: RefSeq, a predicted model, not a curated record